Long non-coding RNA from Dendrobium catenatum, 1128 nucleotides. RefSeq lists it as uncharacterized. The record is from RefSeq and is a predicted model, not a curated record. The transcript is spliced from 2 exons. NCBI's taxonomy places the organism in Eukaryota, Viridiplantae, Streptophyta, Magnoliopsida, Asparagales, Orchidaceae.
UAAAGUAUUAUAUUAUAUUAAUAGUUAUAUAGUUAAUCAAUAAUAACUUAGAGGCGUCUAGGGUUUGCCUUUCAUCUUUCGUUUUCGUCUUUGGCUUCGUUGCUUCGCAGGAGGCGUAGAGAUUGCACGCGUCGCUUCUUGGGGUCCUUCGUAAGUUACGACAUUUUGUUGGGAAGCAACGGGAGCUCGCUGGCUGUGAAGGCUAUAUUUGUAGAGCACUAGAGUUACACGUGACAUCUUGAAGUAGAAAGAGGUUUGGUUAGGAUAUCCACAGUUUGAUCAGUCGCGUUGAUUGGAAGAAUAGUAACUUUGCCAGAUUGAAUAUGAUCUCGUAUAAAAUGACAGUCUACUUCAAUGUUCUUGAUACGAGCAUUAAAUACUAGAUUGUGGGUGAGUGCAAUGGCCGAUGUGUUGUCAUAAUGGAUGACGACGGUCGACUUGAUAGAAGAGAUGUGAAAAUCUUAGAUAAGCCUUAGAAGUAAAAUUACGUCUGUUGUCGUUGUUGCCAAUGAUCUGUAUUCAACCUCUGUGGAGGAGCCUACAACAGUUUGUUACUUCUUUACUAUCCAAGAGAUUAGGGUGUUGCCGAGAUACGUACAAUAUCCAGAGGUGGAGUAGCGGGUAACAAGAUCUGUGGUCCAAUUGGCAUCGGCAAAAGUAAUGAGUUGGAGAUUGGAUUUGAAGAUGGGAAGACCAAAGUCUUUAGUUCCUUGGAGAUAUCUGAGUUGUGUUUGAGUUGGAUGAAAUUUGCAAAUCCUUUAGUAGGUUGAAAAUCUCUCAAAUGGUUGUAGCUCGCAUAUAUUGCAGUGCAGUUUAUCAAAGUUGGAGGGCACACAAUGAAAUGAAGUAUCAUAGAUCAUAUGCUACUACUAUCAUGGCAGCCACCGUGCCUGAAUCAAUCCCCAACUCAUUUGUCUUACUCUUUCAAGGGCACUAGAAUUACUAAUAGUGAAACCAGCUGACUUCCAAUUCUAUGUUGUAUCCUCCCCCGUUUGGUUGGCUAGAGGCCAAUAACCAAUUUUUUUCUUUUCAUAUAUCUUAAGAAGAAAUUCUUGCCAAGUUUAUUUAAUAAAUCGUUAUUACUCUUGUCAUCCAAAUAAUAAUAAUAAUAAUAACAAUAUUGAUAAA